Molecule: long non-coding RNA, 230 nt
Filed under: Elaeis guineensis (African oil palm)
Lineage: Eukaryota; Viridiplantae; Streptophyta; Magnoliopsida; Arecales; Arecaceae
Description: long non-coding RNA (EGUI_LNC004472)
Source: RNAcentral
GAGUGGACUGUAACUCAAAGAGAAAGAGAGGGAGGAAAUGGAAGAAGAAGAGAGAGGGGCUCAGUGCCAGCCAAUCAGGGGGAAGAGAAAAGGGGGCCGGCGGUCGUAGUCCGGCAUGAACAGAGAGAGGGGGAGGGGCUCAUCGCAUCGAAAGAUGUCCUCCCCAACUAUGGAUGAGAGAGAAAAGGAGAAUCAGGGGAAGAGCAGGGUAAGAGAGGGAGAGAGGGGAC